CACAGUGGUCGGUGCAUCCCCAUCCAUAUGUUGACAUCGUUUGCGCAUGACCGUGUUAUAUACCAGAGGUCACAUCCUGCAAAAUGAAAAGACUUGUUACUUACGUCCGUUAUGACUGAGACCGCAAAUACCUCUGAAACGUCUGUGAACUUUUACGAAACUACACGAAGAGAGACAUGUUAAGCAUAUCUUUUUGUGUUCGGAAUAGAUCUGAGUGACAUUUGAUCUGAGGUGAUGUUUCUGGAUAUAUUUUAGAGUGUAAUUUAGUCUCCUAUCACAGCUUCAGAGAAACGUAAUUUCCGGUUCGAAUUGUGGAAUCGAAGAAAUUGCAACAUAUACCCAUGUUACGUGUAGUGUGUGUCUAGGUUAAAACUGCAAAGAAUAAAGUUAAGGACAUGUUCGGGCUGCCACCGCCUGUCGAAUGACUGCCUACCGCCAUAAAUGAAGAUAUAGAAGAAAGAGAUAAAGCGGGAGAAAUUAAAGAGGAAAGGAUAACGUAAUAGAAAAAUAUUGAGUACAUGAAGAAAAGUGGAAGAAUAAAGUCAGUGUUAAAAACAUAAUUACUAGAAUAUGAACGUAAAAAACCGAGGAAUUAAAAACAAUUCAGGAGAAAAAAUGAGGAAGAAGAGAAGGAAUUAUCUCAAGGUAUCUCGUAAAAUUCUUUAAAUUUUCAAUAGCUCGAAGAGUAAACAGAGAAGUUUAUUUCUCAGCGAUUAUGGAAAUUUCUUUACAGCUAGAUGAACAUCAGUGGGGUGCUAACAGUUUUUGAUGGAAGUAAUAUACAUCGAGUGAGUUCUCGUGUGUGUUUCCAAGAUAAUACCACCUAAAACUUAACAGAAACUUUAAAAAAAAACGAAGUAACUACUAAGAACUUUGCCUUCAUAUUUAGUGUCGUCCCUUCGUACUUUUGUGUUCGAAUUACACAGUCCAGUGCACAAACGUCCUGACGUGAAUUAUUAUUAUUAAUAUGGUUUAGCUUCGUGGUUGGGCG
Non-coding RNA from Zootermopsis nevadensis, 991 nucleotides. The record is from RefSeq and is a predicted model, not a curated record. Lineage: Eukaryota; Metazoa; Arthropoda; Insecta; Blattodea; Termopsidae.